Molecule: ribosomal RNA, 425 nt
Filed under: uncultured bacterium
Lineage: Bacteria
Description: partial 16S ribosomal RNA
Rfam family: Bacterial small subunit ribosomal RNA
Source: RNAcentral
GUGGGGAAUAUUGGACAAUGGGCGCAAGCCUGAUCCAGCCAUGCCGCGUGAGUGAUGAAGGCCUUAGGGUUGUAAAGCUCUUUCAGUGGGGACGAUAAUGACGGUACCCACAGAAGAAGCCCCGGCUAACUUCGUGCCAGCAGCCGCGGUAAUACGAAGGGGGCUAGCGUUGUUCGGAUUUACUGGGCGUAAAGCGCACGUAGGCGGUUUGUUAAGUCAGAGGUGAAAUCCCGGAGCUCAACUCCGGAACUGCCUUUGAUACUGGCAAGCUAGAGUCCGGAAGAUGUAAGUGGAACUCCUAGUGUAGAGGUGGAAUUCGUAGAUAUUAGGAAGAACACCAGUGGCGAAGGCGGCUUACUGGUCCGGAACUGACGCUGAGGUGCGAAAGCGUGGGGAGCAAACAGGAUUAGAAACCCUAGUAGUCC